Molecule: ribosomal RNA, 253 nt
Filed under: uncultured bacterium
Lineage: Bacteria
Description: partial 16S ribosomal RNA
Rfam family: Bacterial small subunit ribosomal RNA
Source: RNAcentral
UACAGAGGUCCCAAGCGUUGUUCGGAUUCACUGGGCGUAAAGGGUGCGUAGGCGGUCGGGUAAGUCUGAUGUGAAAUCUCACAGCUUAACUGUGAAACUGCAUUGGAUACUAUCCGGCUUGAGGAAUGGAGGGGAGACUGGAAUACUUGGUGUAGCAGUGAAAUGCGUAGAUAUCGGGAGGAACACCUGUGGCGAAAGCGGCGCACUGGACCACAUCUGACGCUGAGGCGCGAAAGCUAGGGGAGCAAACAGG